CUAUCCAUAAGAUAUGGAUGAUG
Molecule: non-coding RNA, 23 nt
Filed under: Arabidopsis thaliana (thale cress)
Lineage: Eukaryota; Viridiplantae; Streptophyta; Magnoliopsida; Brassicales; Brassicaceae
Source: RNAcentral